Molecule: ribosomal RNA, 484 nt
Filed under: uncultured bacterium
Lineage: Bacteria
Description: partial 16S ribosomal RNA
Rfam family: Bacterial small subunit ribosomal RNA
Source: RNAcentral
AUUGAACGCUGGCGGCAGGCCUAACACAUGCAAGUCGAGCGGAUGAAGGGAGCUUGCUCCUGGAUUCAGCGGCGGACGGGUGAGUAAUGCCUAGGAAUCUGCCUGGCAGUGGGGGAUAACGUCCGGAAACGGGCGCUAAUACCGCAUACGUCCUGAGGGAGAAAGUGGGGGAUCUUCGGACCUCACGCUAUCAGAUGAGCCUAGGUCGGAUUAGCUAGUUGGUGGGGUAAAGGCCUACCAAGGCGACGAUCCGUAACUGGUCUGAGAGGAUGAUCAGUCACACUGGAACUGAGACACGGUCCAGAGUCCUACGGGAGGCAGCAGUGGGGAAUAUUGGGCAAUGGGCGAAAGCCUGAUGCAGCCAUGCCGCGUGUGUGAAGAAGGUCUUCGGAUUGUAAAGCACUUUUAGUUGGGAGGAAGGGCUGUAAGUUUAUACCUUGCUGUUUUGACGUUACCAACUGAAUAAGCACCGGCUAACUACGUG